RNAcentral lists this long non-coding RNA (28593 nucleotides) under Gossypium barbadense (sea-island cotton). Its description in RNAcentral is "long non-coding RNA (GBAR_LNC016096)". The stretch from base 17496 to 17640 matches the Rfam family "MIR7502 microRNA precursor family". Lineage: Eukaryota; Viridiplantae; Streptophyta; Magnoliopsida; Malvales; Malvaceae. The record is from RNAcentral.
ACCCAAUGCCUCAUCAGAUAAUUCGAAAUAUUAAUUUGACACCUAGUGUCUCAUCGAUUAAACUGAAGUAAAUUGGCACCCAGUGCCUCAUCGAAUUAAUUCAAAGUAGUAAAUUGACACCCAGUGUCUCAUCAACUCGAAGUCAAAGAAAUCCCUGAACUCUUCUAAUCUUAUGGCAUGCCAUCUAUAUCAGACUCAGCCCGAUACAAUUAAUAGGGUUUUAAAUUUACUUUUCAAAUACAACCAAUAUUCAAUUCAAUUCAAAUAAUCAAUAUAUUCAAUAUAUAUACCAAUUCAAUCAAUAUAAAUUUAAUAAAUUCAUCACAUAUUAAAUCAAUCCAUUUCAAUUGCAAAACACAAUAAUUCUCACCUCAACACUUACCAUAUACAUUAAAUUAAAAAUACAACAAUUAAUAACUAGUUUCGGAUUAUAGAAAUACAAACCAGGAAUUCCGAACUAUUCCACGUCGACUUUAUCUUUCCCCUUUUUAGUUUAGGAUUCUGGUAUGACGUUAGCUACGGAAUUAAAACAAUUAAAAUUCAUCACUAUAAUACAAUUCAAUUUCAUAUUGCAUAUUUCAAUUUUUACUCAACAUUUGUCUAGAUUCCAAUUUAGUCCAUAAACCGAGACUAAUUUAUUUCUUAACAAUCAAUUAUAUAUUUUUAUUCAAUUUCCACUUUAAAAUAGAUUUAACUCUUUAAUUUCACUUAAAUCCCUAAAUUUUUAAAUUUUCACAAUUUAGUCCCUAUUACUCAAAAUUUACAAUGUAUUCUACAAUCCAAUCCUUUUUCACUUCUAACUUAAAAAUCUAUCAAUUUAAUCCCUAAUAAUAAAAUUAUUCAACAUUAACAACAUUUAAAAACUUAAUAAUUUCUAAAAUUUUGACAUGGGUCAGGUAGUAUUUAAUAUCGGGAUUCCAAAAACAUAAAAAUUACAAAAAAAGGAUUAAAUUGACUAACCAAUUAAAUUUGGAACUUUUAAAACCUUAAGGCCCUUCGUCUGUUUCUUUCUCCUUUUUUUUUCGUUUUGCUUCUCUGUUUCGUUUCUACCUUUCUAUUUCUUUUUCUUUCUUUCUUUCUUUUUGUUUGUUUUAUUAUUAUAAUAUAUAAUAUAUAUACUUAUAUAUUAAGUAAACUUAUUUUAAUAUAAUAUAUAUUAAAUUCACAUAUAUUUAACUUAUGCCGCCUCACCUAAAGAAAAAUGACAUAAUUUUGUGAAACUUUAGGGGUAAAAAUGUAGUUUUUCCAAAGUAUGAUUUUUGGACUAAAUUGAAUAAUGAGAGUGUUAAACAAGUUAAAUAUGUUAUUAUAAAUCAAGAAAGACGAGAAAUUGACUUUGAUCAGUGAGAAAGAAAAGUGAGAAAAAGUGAAAUUAUGAAAAAGUACAUUUAGCAACAAACAGUUUAGACAGCAACAGUUGUGUGACUUUGAAAAAUCACCAAAAAUGGUGAAAAUUUAAUUAUAGGCUGAAUAAUGUAUGAAAUUAAAACUUAAUGAGUCUAUUUUUACAUAAAAGAGACAGAGAAAGCAAAAGAAUUUUAUAUUAUGAGAUAUUUGAAUUUUAGUGAGACAGGGCUAGAAUGAUUUCGAAAUCUCAUGUUCUGACUUUGGAAAAUCAUUAAAAAUUGUAAAUUAAUAAUAAUGGGAUAAAAUUUAUAUGUUUAGAACCCUGAAUGAGUUUAUUUUCAAAAGAAACAAACGAUAACAUUAUCUGAAUUCUGUACUAUGAAAUAAUUAAUUUUUAGUGAAGAAGGGUCAGACCUGUUGAGCAGUGAAACAGGGGAACUUUAAAGAAUAAACUGCACUUAUUGGCUAAGCCAAAAAUUAUAAAAAAUUUAUGGUAAUAAAAUAUGUGAGUCUAGUUUUAGGUAAAAUUAUCGGAUCUUAAUUUGGAGCUUGGUAGCUCGAGAUAUAAAUAAAUUAGUGACUCUGACUCUGACUCUGACAAACAGUUUGAAUUUACAUACAAGAAAAUAGUGAAAGUAUGGAUAAUGUUAUUUAAGUGUGUUAUACACAUUAAGGAUGUGGAAUGGAGAGUAGGAGGAGGAAAAUUGGAAAAUAUAUGAAUGAUUUGUGUAUAAUUGGCCAUAUGCUUGAUUAUGAUUGAUAAACGAUGAAAUAGAAAUAAUGCUUAUGUUUGUGCAUGAUUGGUCAUGGUUUAACCUCAUGUGGGAAAAUAAAGUUUUAUUGUAUGUGUGUAUGGUAUAUUUGGAAUAUGAUUUGGCUUGAAGUAAUGUCAUGAAUGGUUUAUGAAUUAACACAUGUUGGUAAGUUUGAUACAUGAACAAAUGUUGUUUUCAUCCAUGCUUAUAAUGCUUAUGCUAUAUGUUUAUUUGGGUUCACAUAUUUGGUGUACAUGCUUAGGCUUUGGCCAAGUUGUGGUUGGAUUAUGCCAUGUUAAAAUUAUAAGUUAUGCAUUGAGAUGGUAAGUGCCUAAAUGGAAAUAUGCUUGUGAUCAUGACAGGGGUGGUAAGGUUUAAAUUAUGUAAUCUUUAGUGAAAUGGUUUAUCAUGUGGUUAGUUCCAAAAAGAAUUAUGUUUAAAUGCAUUAACUUGCGACUAUGGUUGAAUGAUAUGUUUAUGUCUUGUGUGAUAUGUAUAGGAAACGGGUGUGGAAAGGUAAUGAAAUAGUAAGUUCAUAUUUGAAGCGAAAAAUGACGAAAAAAGGGAUGAUGAGUUUAAUUGAUGUUGUUAUUUAAGCUAAAGUGAUAUUUUCAUUGCAAAAUUGAGAAUUUCAUAAAUGUGUUAAUGAAUGAUAUAGUCGAUAAAUGUUGAGUUAAAUGGUAAAUAUGUAUUAGUAUUGAACUUACUAAUAUUGAAUUGUACGUGAAUUAAAUGGAAAUUGCUAGUGAUAGGAUUUGAAUUGUGAGCAUGAAUAAAUUGUGAAUUGAAUAAAAAGAAAUGAAGCAUUGAAUUGCAUGAGUAUGUAUCGGGUCUCGUAGGCCCUAUUUAUUAUGAUUAUAAUAUAUUGAGGAUAUAUUGUGAAGAAUUAUAAAAGUAUGUUAAUAAUUUGAAAGUUUUAAUUUAGAUGAAAUUUUAUAACUCGGUUCAGUACGUUUACAAGUGUAUGUGUUCUGGUAAUGCCUCGUACCCUAUUUUGGUGUUGAAUACGGGUAAGGGGUGUUACAAAAAAAAUAUUUACGAGUCUAAUUUACGGGAACGGAGUCCCAGGAAUGCACUUUUUUUAGUUUGAUCAUUUUUAAUUAAUUAACCAUCGAAACGUUAAAAUUUUUUAACGAAACUUUAAUACCACCUUAAUGACACUCCGUAAAUAUUUAUAAAAAUAUUUAUGGCUCAGUUUAUAAAAACAAGGUCCCUAUACCUCAUUUUCUAAAACCACUUGAACUUAAUAAAUCACUUAUAUAACAUAAAUUAUCAAAUCAAAAACUUUUUUUUAAAUCACAUUUUACUCGUAAAUACUAAAUAAUAAUAUUUACGAACUUACUUGUCGAAUUUAUUUGCCCCAAAACCACUAUUUUUGACACCAUUGAAAAAUGAGCUGUUAAACGGUAUGUCCGCAACAUAUGCAGGACCACUACCUUUUCAGGAAACAGAACCUUGUAUCCAAUCGAAUUUCAUUCAUUCAAACGUGAUUUAACAUUUAUCGGGUAUUUUCCGGAUAUAUGAUUAGAUUUCAUAUACAAAUCAUUCAAAUCAAUUCGAACAUAUAAUUACACAAUUAAGUUACACGAACUUACCUCGACAAUGUUCAUGAGUCGUAAUCUACCAAUCCGUUACUUUUCUUUACCUCGAUCUAGCUCCGUAUUUUGUCUUUUCGGAUCUAUACGAGUAAAUUAACUCAAUUUAAUACAAUUUCAUACUCAUUUCAAUCCAAUUUACAUCUUAGGAAAAAGUACCAUUUUGCCCCUAUACUUUUGAUUCAUUCCAAUUUCAUCCCUAGGCUCGAUAAAUGAAAUUCAUGCAAUUUAAUCCUUAUUCCAAGAUCAGUCAAAUUUUACAUGUAUCAAUAGCAGCCCAUGUAUUUCACAAAAAUUAGAAUUUUUCCAUGAAUUUUACUUUUUUACAAUUUAGUCCCUAAAUCACAUUUUCAUCAAAAUUCCUUUAAGAAAAGUUGUUUACCUAUCAACAACCUUUCAUUUUCUACCAUCAAAGUUCAUAAUUCAACUAUAUUCAUCCAUGGAAAAAUCCUAGAACUUUGAUAACUUUGCAAAUUAAUCCUCAAAAUAGCUUAAUUAUGCUAUUACAAUCUCAGAAACAUAAAAAUUACUAAAAACGGGACAAGAAUUCAUACCUAAUUAAGCCAAGAAAGCUUGAUUGAGAUAUUUUCUCUUAGCUAGGGUUUCCAUAAAAAAAUUUGGGAAAGGUGAUGAUAAAUGAUGAUAUUUUCUUUAUUUAAUCAUUUAUCAUCUUUUAAUAUCUUUUAUUUCCAAUUUCAUCCUUUUCUUUAAUUAAAUUUCCAUGAAUGAAUCAUCAUCCUUAUCUAUUAACUUCUCUUAAUGGUCUAUUUGUCAUAUAAGGACCUCAAACUUUGAAUUUCAUAGCUAUUUGAUACUUAUAGCUACUAGAACCCAACUUUUGCAUUUCAUGGAAUUUGGUCCUUUUAUCAAUUAAACAUGUAAUCGGUAAAAUUUUCUUAACAAAAUUUUCAUACGAUUUUCUUAUUAUAAUUUAGACCAUGAAAUAAAAUUAUAAUAAUUUUCUUUUCGUAUUCAAAUUUGUGGUCCCGAAACCACUGUUCUGAUUUCACUGAAAAUGGGUUGUUACACUAUUAAAGUGUUAGGGUUUUUCCAUGGAUGAGUACAGUUUAAUUAUGAAGUUUUAUGGUAGAAAAAUGAAAGAUUGUUGAUAGAUAAACAACUUUUCGAAAGAGAAUUUUGAUGAAAUUAUGAUUUAGGGACUGAAUUGAAAAAAUGAGAAAUUUAUGGAAAAUUUUUAAAUUUUGUUAAAUACAUGGGCUUCUAUGGAUAUGUAUGAAAAUUAAUUAGGCUUGAAAUAAGGAUUAAAUUGCAUGAAUUUCAUUUUUUGAGCUUAGAGAUAAUUGUAAUUAAUUAAAAGUAUAGGAGCAAAAUAGUAAUUUUGCCAAAGAUGUGUACUAGAUUGAAUUGAAUAUGAAUGAUAUUAAAUUGAGUUAAAUUCAUUCGUACAAAUCCGAAUAGACCUAAUACGGAGUUAGAUCGAGGAAAAGAAAAAGUAUUAGAUUAGUAGCCUACGAAAUUGUGAACAUUUGUCGAGGUAAGUUCAUGUAAUUAAAUUGUAUAUUUGUAUUAUUUGAAUUGAAUAUUGUUGUGUGUGUGAUUUUUAUAAAAAGCCAUAUAUAUUAUUGAUCACAUAUUCGACAAGUACAGAAUCCCGUUUGAACCUUAGACAUUCAAUGGAUACAAAUGAUAUGUCAUUAGGUUUCCGGAUUGGUUGUGGUCCUACAUGUGUUGCGGACACACCACAGCUCUUAUGAGCAUCCCGAUAUUUGGCUCUCACGAGCUUCCGAUUAAUGGCUCUUAUGAGCUUCCCGAUAUACAGCUCGAUUGAGCUUCCUGUUAUACAGCUCACAUGAGCUUCUCGUUACAUGGCUCAAAAGAGUUUCCCGUGUACAUGCUCGUAUAAGCAUACCUGUAUAUGAAUUGAUGGAUUACAUAUUUGUACACCUCGUUUGUAUUACCCGUGUAUCCAAUGAUAUUUUAAAUGGUUCAACGGGCUAAGUUUUGAUUUGAGAUAAUAUAAGUUUGAAACGAACUAUUACCCAUGUAUACAUGAAGUACAUAGAAAUGAUAUUACUUGAUAUACUGAAGCAUGAAAUGAUUGUUACAUGUAUGUGAAACUUGCUUGAUGACUUUGUUCAUCCAUGAUGAUGGGCUAUUAUAUGUGUUUAGGCUUUUGUCCAAGUUGAUUUGAAAUAUGUUUUGUAUGCUUACCUUAAAUGUAAUUGAAUGGUAAGUUAAGUUGUUAUACGAACUUACUAAGCGUAAAUGCUUACUCUAUUUUAUUUUCCCUGUUUUAUAGUAACUUGGAAGCUCGUUUUGGUUGGAAGUUGGUCAGAGGUGAUUCGCACUAUCCAUAGGCCUUUUUGGUACAUAUAGUAAACUAAUUUUGGUUAUAAUGGCAUGUAUAAGUUAAUUUGGCCAAUGUUGGCAUAAAAUUAUCUUGUUUAGACUAGCCAUUAGAGUGGCUUGUGUUUGAUAUAUUUUGAGAUGUAUAUAUAUGGCCUUAUCAUGAUUAAUGUGUGUUUGGUAUGGUUGAGUGAUGAAUAAUUUAUAGGCAUAUUGAAGAUUGGUUUGAGAUAGUAUGUUUGGUACAAAUUUGCAUAUAUGUGUAUUUUGUUAAUUUGGUAAGUUUGGAUACUUGGAUAUAUGUGUUGAAAUGUCAUGUAUAAAACUUGAUUUUGGCUUGAUUUGAAUGUCUUGUUAUGGUUUGUUGAUGUCAAAAAAUGUUGAGAUGGGUUGAUGACAAAUUGGGUGAGAAAUGUGGCUUGAAAAUGACUUAUUUUUGUCCACACGGGCAGAGACACAGGCGUGUGUCUCAGCCGUGUCAGGUGACACGGUCGUGUGUCCCCUGUAUCUUUUAAAUUUUGCAAGUCAGUAUGCUCACACGGCCUAGCACACAAGCGUGUGGUUUGGUCGUGUGACCUCAGUCAGAGAGUUACAAGGGCACGGACACGGCUGUGUGUCCCUAUUUCGAAUGCCUACACGGCCUGAGACACGGAUGUGUCUCUUGACCGUGUAAACGACACGGCUUAGCCACACGGACGUGUGUCCCCUGUACCUUUGAAAAAUUUUAAUAUUUUUCAAAAAAUUCUUUGAAUACCCGAAUUAGUCCUGACUUGUUUCUAAUGUAUGUUUUGGGCCUCGAGGGCUCACAUAAGGGAACAUUAUGCUUGAUUUCGAUUGGUUUUUGAUAUGAAUGCUAUAUGAUAUGAAAUAUCUAUUUAUUUGUUCUGUAAAUUUCGGUAAUGCUCUGUAACCCUGUUCCGGCGACGGAUACGGGUUAGGGGUGUUACAGAAUAGGCCAAGUAUGGGAGAUGAUUCAUCAAAGAAUGGUUUGGAAUAUUCAAACGGUGAAAAUUUUAAUUUUUGGAGGGAUGCAUGGAUGGUUGAUGUAACAGCCAGAUUUUUAGUGAUGUCAGAAAUAGUGGUUCGAGGCCCCUAAAUCUGCGAGUAAGUUUGUAAAUAUUAUUAUUUAAUAUUUACGAGUCAAAUAUGAUUUUUAAUAAAAAAGAUGCAUUCUCAAGACUUCGUUCCGGUAAAUCAGAUUCGUAAAUAUUUUUAAUAAAUAUGUACAAAGCUAGCUGUGUAGUUAAUUAUGUUUUGAUUAGGUGAGUUUGACUUAAUUAAGGUUAAUUAGAUAAAAGGACUAAAUUAAAUUGAUUGUGAAAGUUUAAUUAUGAAAUAAAAAAAUCAAGGGACUAAAUUAGUAAAUAAACCAAAAAUGUGACACUUGUGUGGUAAUAAUAAAAUACAUGUGUAAUAAAAUAUAUACAUACAUUUGUAAUAAUAUGUAUAAUUUACUUAUUAUUUAAGUAUAAGAUAUUUUAGAUUAAAAUAUUUUUAUAUUAUAUUAUUAUAUUACAUUAAUUAAUCAAAACAAAAUAAAGAAAUGAAAUAAAAAGAACAAAGGAAAGAAACAGAGAAGCAAAACGAAAACAGGGGAGAAAGGAAAGAAAAAGAAAAAAAGGGAAUGAAAGAAAGAAAAUUUGGGAUUUUAAGGUUCAAGGUUUGGUUGGUAAGCUAAUUUAGUCUAUUUUUUUAUAAUUUUGAUGUUUUUGGAAUCCCAGAACAAAAUACUAUUUGAUUUAAGUUGAAAAUUUGAAAGUUAGUAAAUUUUUAGAUGUUGUUCAUGUUGAAUUAAUUGAUGAAUUAGGGGUUAAAUUGAUUGAAUUUUUUAAAUUAGUUUAAAGUGGGAAUGGAAUGAAAAUAUGAAAUUAGUUUUCAGAAUAAAAGUUAGUCUUGGUUCAGCGACUAAAUUGGAAUUUUGACAAAUAUUGAGUAAAUAUUAAAAUAUUUAAUGUGAGAUUGAAUGGUGUUGUAUUGAUAUUUUUAAUUGUUUUAAUUCCGUAGCUUGCGACGUACUGGAAUUCUCGACUAAAAGGGGAAAAAAUAUAGUCGACGAGGAAUAAUUCAGAAAUCUUGUUUUGUAUUUCUAUAAUCCGAAUCUAAUUAUUAAUUGUUGUAUUUUGAUUAAAUGUUAUAGUAAGUGAUUGAGGUGAGAAUUAUUGUGGUUUACAAUUGAAAUGGAUUGUCUUGGUAUGUAAUGAAAUUAUAUUGGUUGAAUUGAAUUUGAAUAUAUAUAUUAUGAAUAUAUAUGUGUAAAUGUGAAAUUGUGCAAAUAUGAUAAUUGGAUUAUUAUAUAUAUAUAAAAUUCAGUUUUAAUGCCCAAGUAGACGGAAUUUAGAACUACUGGGAUAUUAGUGGCAUGUCAUUAAAGAACUUUAGCGCACUCUCUUAUUAUUAGCACGUUGGUGCUCUCUGAUUACUAGCACGACAGUGCUUUCCGUUUAGCACAUCUGUGCUCUCUGUUCAUUAGUGCAUAAUAAUGCACCUCUGUAUUUGUUCCGUAUAUCCGGUGUGUUCUAUAAAAUCUACUUUGGGAUAAGAAUAUGAGAUAGUAAACUGAAAAUAGAAUGUGAAAUAUGUUUUAAACACAUGGAAGACACGAGUUAUAUAUUCAUAAAUUGAUUGUGGAAUGGAUAGUGCCAUUGUUUAAAUGAUACGUGAAUAAAUGAUGGAAAUGUAUUACAUAUAGCAAGUGAUGACAAUUGAGUAUUGUGUGAUUUUAAAUGUUCAAUUGUGUUUAACAUUUUAUUAUACAUAUUUUAUUGUUUUAUUUUUUUAAAAAAAUUUGGAUUAUAGAAAUACCACUGAGUUUUUACUCAGCGUACGGUUUUGUUUUCCGUGCGCAGGUUAAGUACUUAAGUUUGAUCGCUGAUUCAGCAUCCAACAAUGAUCCCGAACUCAAAUAUGGUGAUGUUUAUUUCUUUGUGUCGGCAUGUACCUAGAGUGUCUAAAUAUUAGUUAUUUUGUAGUUUGAUUGUAAAUGAAGUUAUAAGAUCUAUUUUGGAGAGUUUAUAAUUUGGAUUAAAAUGAUGCUUUAAUGACUUGUUUUGAUGAUAUAAAAUAUUUGAGAUUUCUAUCUGUUUGAUCUAUAAUCUCCGGUAAUGUUCCAUAACCCAAUUCCGACGAGGGAUACAGGUUGAGGGUGUUACAGUUGACAUUAGACCACUAAUUGAUUAAUUGGGUUGAUAAGAGGAAUAGUGCCAGAAUCAUAUAUGGGUCAGUGGCUUCAAUGGUUACACCAAAUGGUGAUUGAAAUUGGAGUUUAUUGGAAAAUGCUUUACCAUGUAAUAUUUUGCUUAAAUUAGCAAUAAUGCUUUCGCCGGACAAGGGGGCAAUGUAGAUUAUUUGGCUUGGAGAUAGGAUGCUAAUAGGAGAUUCACUAUCAAAUUGACCUACUCAAUGGCGUCAAAUAAUUUAAUGGAAGGGUGCAAGAAUGGUGGAAACCAGUAUGGCAUUUCAGAGAACCCUAAAGAAUUCGAAUUUUCUUAUGAUUAAUGUGCUUGAAUAAAUUGUUAACAAACAAUGAAAAGAAGAAAAAGCAUAUGAUCAUUCAGGUGUGAUGUGUGCAAAAUCAAUUUAUUUUCUAAUAUAAUAUUAGAUAUAGAUGCAAUAUCUAUAAAAGAAACUAUAUAUUAAAUUUUAUGUUCAUAUAAAAAAUAAAUAUGAUAAGAACAUAGACCUAAAAAUUAAUAUAUAAUAAAUUAUAAAACAAUUUACUACAUUUAUUAUUAGUAUUUAACAACAAUGAAGGUAAAAAGAAAUUACUUAAUUAAUCUCUCGUACUAAUAGCAUCCUUGAAUUUAGUGCGUCGUGAUUAUGGGACAAAUCCAUCCAUCUUGGAUUGGAUAACCCCCCCCCCCCAACACAUCAACAAAAUUUGUUGGAAAAAGAUAAAAUGAAAAGUGGGCAUGGCAUGCAGUGCACGUGAUAUUUAAAAUGUUAAAUUUACUAACGUGGCGUAUAUUUAAACUAGAUCUCACGGUUAUCAACUCACCUCGUUUUCGCUUCCUACCAUUUUUAUUACAUUUUCACGAAUCUGUAAUUUUAACUAAUUUUCCUCCAUCUUCUUCAAUGAUUAUGUAAAAGCCUGCAAAAUCUCAGUUGUCCAGUACAAUGGCUACCCUCUCCUUUUCUCCCCUCAAACCAAACACGUUAUUUUCUUCUUUUCUGUUCCCUUCUAAAAACUUAUCCUCCCGACCAAUUAUCUAUACUCUUCCUCAUCGAAACACUCCUCCACUCACUUUCUCUGCUGCCAAACGCCCUCCCGCCGCAUCCGCAACCAAUUCAUCCUCUUCCGUUACCGUCGAAACCGUCUCUCCUGAAAAUGACGCCAACUCAACCGUUUUCGUCAUCCGUGCGCGUAACCGUACCGGUCUCCUCCAAGUUAUCACGCGCGUCUUCAAUAUCCUCGGUCUUAGCGUCGAGAAGGCCACCGUAGAUUUUGAAGAAGACUAUUUUGUCAUGACGUUCUUCGUAACCGAUUCCCGCGGCAACAAGAUCGAUGAUCAGAAGAGCUUGGAAAGUAUCAACAAGGCCUUGAUCGACGCAAUCGACGGUGACGAUGAUGCCGCCUUGUCUGUGGCUCCGCCAGAUAGAGGGGUCGUGGUAAGGAAGCCUCGGUUGGAUUUUGGGGAGAGGAAAGGCCAAGCUGAAAGGAUGCUUGGAUUGAUGGAUGUUUUCUUGAAGAACGACCCGAUCAGCUUACAAAAGGAUAUUUUACAUCACGUUGAGUACACGGUGGCUCGAUCGCGAUUUAGUUUCGAUGAUUUUGAAGCUUAUCAAGUAAGAUUAAAGUUUCGUUGUUGGGUUGAGAACGAAUUUUGACUUCCUUUUUAAAAAUUUGGCGGGAAUGUAUGGUAUAACUUAAGUGCGAUUGUUUAACAGGCUUUGGCGCACAGCGUAAGAGAUCGGUUGAUUGAACGUUGGCAUGAUACUCUGAUACAUUUCAAGAAGGAAGACCCAAAGCGAGUUUACUUUCUUUCGCUUGAGUUUCUUAUGGGUAUACUUUCUUACCGUUAUGAGCCUUAUAAUGUUUGGUCUAAUUAAAAUGAUGGAUAAGUUUAAGAGCUCUCGAGAAGUUUGGUUAUGCUUUCUGUUACUCUCCUAGCACCUAUAGUUUAUCAAAUCUAGAGGAUCUGACUUUGGUUUCUAUUACAAGUAGAACUAGUUUUUGAAUUCACAUGUUAUUCUGGAUUUUCUUCAGUGCUUUAAAUAUCAUUCAUGCUAAACAACUGUAUGCAAUUUAUAUUUUCAGGGCGUUCGUUGUCAAAUAUUGUCAUCAACCUUGGAAUUCGCGACCAAUUUGCAGAUGCUUUAAGCCAGCUUGGUUUUGAUUUUGAAGUUUUAGCUGAACAGGUUAACUUGACAUUCGAUUUUCUUCUGUCCUCCUUUAUUGUCCUAAUCUUAGAUUAUUAUUAUUAGCAUAUCACGAUCCGGAAAAGUAAUUGUUUGUUUGCGAGGAGAAUUGAAUACAUCAAGUAUAUUUAUUGGAGAUCAUGUUGUGUGGUAGUCGGAGAUUUGAAACUAGGUGAAUCCAAUGGAUGGCCAUAUUCUUGGGAACCUAGAGCCACAAAACUGUAUGAUGUUAAGGUGUGCUCGUCCUUUCGAAACAGCCUCUCCUUGGAAUUAGAGCUCGAGGGAGAUCUCUGUUUGAACAAGUUAAAACUGAAUUCUUAAUCAUGUUGGAAGAAAGCUUUUCUUAUAUAUAUAUUGUACACUCAGAUAAUUAUUUACUUUCCUCUUUAUCUUAUUCAUUAUGAUAUUCUAAGGAAGGAGAUGCUUGCCUGGGUAAUGGAGGCCUUGCUCGUCUUUCAGCAUGUCAAAUGGAUUCUCUAGCAACUUUGGACUACCCUGCAGUGGGGUAUGCCUCUAUUCUAUAUUUUUCUUGUAAGAUUUGUGGAAGCAUUUCAAGUUAAAAGUAAUACAUAUAAGUCUUCCAUUAAGUAGGGGUACUGAAUCAUUAUCCAUACUGGCUUUGAAACCAAAAUGGAUUAUGGACCGUGAAGUUGACUGCUUAUCUUCUAAUUAGUAUUAGCUUAUUUAUAAUCUAUGCUAGUUUUCCUUUUUCAAAAUCAUUUAGCGAAUUCUUGCAUCAAAAUCAUGUCAUUUAGUUCAUGCAUAACUUGUAUAUCCUCAAACGAGUAUUGGCUUUUAUGUUUAAUAAUCUAAUUCUAGGGGAUUGUUUCUGCAGCUAUGGAUUACGCUACCAGUAUGGGUUGUUCCGUCAAGUUAUAGUGGAUGGAUUUCAACAUGAACAGCCUGAUUAUUGGUUAAAUUUUGGAAACCCUUGGGAGAUUGAGCGAGUUCACAUAACAUAUCCUGUAAAGGUUUGUAAGCACUUAGAUGUGUUCAAUUAUCUGUGGGAAUAUUGGAUGUUUGACUUUAUCUUUCUAUUCUUUUGCAAUUCUGUAUUGUUUACUAAACUUCUGUUCACUAUGUUUUUGGAUGGUAAAGUUCUAUGGGACGGUCACAGAUGAAUUUUUGAAUGGAGAGAAAUGUAAAGUUUGGGUUCCUGGAGAAAUGGUAAGGCUGUAAUUCUUUUCAUAAAUUGAAGCCUAGACAUUUGCAUAAAACUCUUUAUCCAUUAUUUAUACUCAUGGGCGAUGCAUGAUUUAAAUGAGUGCUAAAUUUAAGUGAAUGUGGUUGGCUUUUUUUAGCUUAGCAAUAUCUUCAUAUUCGUAGGUUGAAGCUGUGGCAUAUGACAAUCCAAUACCUGGUUAUGGAACAAGGAAUACCAUUAAUCUUCGCCUUUGGGCUGCGAAACCAAGUGAUCAACAUGAUAUGGUAAUUUCGACAAAGUCCAAUCAGUUAUGCAUGAGUUCUAUGCACACUUAGGUGGAUUAAACUAAAGUACGAAGAUCUGGCACAUAAAACUAAUUCUUAUGAUCUAGAUUCGCUAGAAAUGCUAUAGUUGGACUGAGCUAACAAUGCUGAUUUGGUAGCUUAAAACAUAGUCAUAUAUGCAAUCAUGUGUUUUUUUCUGUACGGAUCUCUUCUAUAUCCUACCCAUCAAGCUCUGCUUAGACAGCGAGGGAUUUGGAAAUCUUUUUGAAUAAUUUCUUUCAAUUGUUUUGGCUUAAUUGUUUUGAAACAUGCUUAAUCCAACUGAAGUGAUAUCAGUUAUUUGCUGUUUCAAUGUGCUUGUUUCUUUUAUCUUUCUUUUCUUUUUUUUUUCUUUAUUUCACUAUUUGCAUUUUGGAGAAUUAUAUUUUGGUGAGAGCUUAUGUUAGUAAGGUUAGCAUCUAUCCUGUCUUGUAUAGUCUUUGAGGCAGGUAUUUGAUGUCGGUUCUAGAAAGAUUUGUUAAUUAGUAAGAAUUUUGUAUAUUUCAGGUAUUUUGUUACUUUUAGUUUUAGAGACUUUAAUUUUUUGUAGGUGUUAUUUUGGAAAAUUCUUUAAGAUUCUGAUUUUUGGUUUUGUAUGAUAUUUAUUGCCAUACAUGCUUAUGGAUUCUUGUUAGUAUGCGACCUUGUUAUGUCUCAAAUUCUUGGGUUUGGAGCAUGGCAAUGCAGGAGUCUUUUAACACUGGGGAUUAUGUUGAUGCUGUAGUCAAUAGACAGAGGGCAGAAAGUAUUAGUAGCAUACUAUACCCCGACGAUCGUUCUUAUCAGGUGUGAUUGCUUUUCCUUAACUUGAUUGGUUACAUCAAGAUUAGAGUCUGCCUCAUCAAUUUUUUCAUGCUUCGUCUUCUAAAGUUUUUACUGCAAUUGUUUGAUUUAUGGGAAAUUAAAGGUACUUAGUCGGAGAUUAUUAAUGUUGCAUUCACUGAAAACUUGGUUGAAAUGUUUGCUAGGGGUUGAACAAAUAUGUUUCUUUGUCUUUCUGUAGAUCUACAUUCAUAUUUCUUUUUGGUGGUUUCUUUCAGGGUAAAGAAUUGCGGUUGAAACAGCAAUAUUUCUUUGUAUCCGCGUCAGUACAAGACAUCUUCAGAAGAUUCAAAGACACUCAUAAAAAAUUUGAUGAGUUUCCAGAGAAGGUUCUUAGCUGCAUGUUUCAUGUGUCUAUUAGUGCAGAAGCAUAUGUAGAGACACCUCAAAUCGGAUUAGUUUGUACUGAUCUGAUCAUGUAGUGAGGUGACAUGCCUUGGUUCUACCCUCCUGAAUCUUGUGUAACAUAGCUGUUCUCAAGGUUCUCUCAGGUUCUCAAUGUCACAUCCUUAACAAUUGAUUUGCUUUCAGAUGAUGGCAGUUGUGAGAUUUGAGUGAGGAAUCUUUCUCUAUACUGAGAAGGAUUUCUUUCCACUUUUAUUAUCAUCCCUAGGUUGAGUGCUGACUGCUGCUUGACUCCUGUUCUGUCAACUCCAAUUGCAUUUUAUAUAGGUUGCACUGCAGCUGAAUGACACUCAUCCAUCUCUUGCAAUAGCUGAGGUGAUGAGAGUGCUUCUGGAUGAAGAGCAUUUAAGCUGGCAUAGAGCAUGGGACAUCAUAUGCAAAAUAUUUUCGUUCACAACUCAUACUGUAUCACCUGAAGGACUGGAGAAAAUUCCUGUGGAUCUACUGGGCAACCUUCUCCCUCGACAUUUGCAGGUGUGUUUUGUUUGAAUUUUGCAAUGUACUUUCUUCUUUGAUAAAGUUUACCCGUUUCUUUGAAUUACUUUAUGUGAUUGAAAGCCUAAGUAAUUCUACUGGACAAGAUUCAUCUUACAAUAUUCUUUCAUUUAUAUCUGAUGUCAUAUGGUAUAAGCUUCAUCUUAAUAAUUUUCUUAACUACAGCAUCGUGCCUCCAAGGUACAGAAGCAUGCAUGUGGUUAAUUAUUAUUUUCCGCAUAACUCUUUCCUGUAUUACCACACUCCUUUAGAUUGUAAUUUAUUAGUUUGAUUGGUUGUCAACUUGUUUCGUACUAUUUUAGAAAAUUGCUCUUUUCAGAUUAUAUAUGACAUAAACUUCAACUUUGUGGAAGAGUUAAAGAAGAUGAUUGGUUUAGAUUAUGAUCGGCUGACCAGGAUGUCAAUUGUUGAGGAAGGUGCUGUGAAGGUAUAUAUCUCAAAUUUUAUGGGUUUCUAAAAUUUAUAUUGUGUUGAUGGAUUGCUAGAAUGUUAUGAAAAUUGAAGUCCAUAACCAUCCCUUUUGUCAGAAUAUUCGAAUGGCAAAUCUAUCAGUUAUUUGUUCUCAUACCGUGAAUGGUGUCUCCAGAUUACAUUCAGAGUUGUUGAGAACAAAAUUAUUCAAGGUAAAACUUAUAUUUGUUUUUUCCUGCUUAAACGUUGCCUUUCCUUGUAACAAGUUUGAAAUAGAACUCAGCUUCGAUGAAUGUCUUUAAUUAGUUGAUCUUAGUUGUUGUCUAUUAAUGCUUUUCAGGACUUUUAUGACCUAUGGCCGCACAAGUUUCAAUACAAAACUAAUGGGGUGACACAGGUUUAAAAUAAGUAACAGUUUUUUCAGUACAUUAACUUACUGAUAGGUUAAGUUGUUUCCUACCUGUAAAUAAAUUUUAGACUUGUUACUGUGAUGCUGUGAUGCAUCUUGCCCUGAUAACUAAAAGUACGCGAAUAAUUUAAAUUCACCUGCUGUGUAGUUAUUUUGAUCUCUUAAUAUUUGGUUUCUCAGCGUCGCUGGAUUGUUGUUAGCAAUCCUAGUUUAUGCGCUCUUAUCUCAAAAUGGCUUGGAACAGAAGCUUGGAUCCGUGAUAUUGACCUUUUAAUAGGCUUGAGAGACUAUGCAACUAAUGCUGAAUUGCAUCAAGAAUGGAAGAUGGUACUUUCAUAGUUGGCAUGCUUCACCUUUGAAACAAAACAUAUCAUUGGCUAUCUCAUUCAUUUAUUGUUAACUAUUAUCUCAUAGGUUAAGAAGGUCAACAAAAUAAGGCUUGCCGAGUACAUUGAAGCGAUGAGUGGUUUGAAGGUUUUGAAGAAAGCUAUAGUUUUUGCACCUACAUUUCUUUUUCCAUUUUUAAGGAGCUCUGAAAUGAUGUAAUGUUGGUGUGCAUUAUUUGUAAUGGGCAGGUCAGCUUGGAUGCAAUGUUUGAUGUGCAGACAAAGCGAAUACAUGAAUAUAAGCGGCAGUUGCUUAAUAUACUUGGCAUUAUCCAUAGAUAUGAUUGCAUCAAGGUUAACACCAUCUUUGGCUGAAAGAGCCAUGAAAACUUGUGGAAUUUAUCAAAUGCUUCUUUUUAUAUGCGCCUUUUUGAAUUGUCCGUGUAGCAAACUAACAACAUAGGUUUAAGUUAUUACCAUCCUGUUGCUGGAUGUUUGCAAGACCAACAAUUCCUUACUCAUUGUAAUAUGAGUUGAUUAACCAUUUCCUUAACCAUCAUCUUUUUGGCUUUGCAUAAAGAUGUUUAAGUAUUAGAAAUUGUACAUAUUUUCGAACAUUGUAAAAUAAGUUAAAAGAAUGUGUAACUCAGAGGUAUCUUUGCUCAUGCUAUUCUCAUUUGGUGCAGAAUAUGGACAAGAAUGAUAGGAAAAAUGUUGUACCACGGGUCUGCAUAAUUGGAGGAAAAGCUGCUCCAGGAUAUGAAAUUGCAAAGAAGAUUAUAAAACUCUGUCAUGUUGUGGCUGAAAGAAUCAACAAUGAUAAUGAUAUUGGAGAUCUUUUAAAGUUGGUAAGCUAGUAUUUAUUUUAUCUAGAAGUUCAAUGGAACUCUGAAGCGUGUAUUGUUUACUCAGAAGGGUGAGUAAUUUACCCUUAAAACAGAUAUAAUCAGCAACCAUGAUGAUGAAUUAAAGCUGCAAGGACCUUUAUAUUUGUCUUCUAAUAACAAAUCUGUCUUUCUAAGUCAUUAAGUAUUAUUGCAGGUCUUUAUCCCUGAUUACAAUGUUUCUGUUGCUGAGAUGGUAAUACCAGGGGCUGACCUUUCUCAACAUCUAAGGUAGUAUGCAUAAGUUUUGCACAUUAGAUGAUAUUAUCAAUUUCGUUAGCAGUUACAUUAUGUUUUGUAGUGAUUGCUGAUUGGGAUUUUUCUGUGGUCAACUAUUGGCUUCACUUAUAUAGAUAGAUCUAUUUGUCACUCUAAAGUUGUAUGCCUCCAUUUUACCAUUAAUUUGGGUCGAAAUAUUUUGGAAUCUUUUAGUAUUAAUUGUCAUUAAGCUUAUGUAUGAGCAGUUCAGAAUCACUAGGUUGAUGGAAUAAUAUAAUAUAAUAUAAUAUCCAGGUGAUUAAUUGGGGCAGAAUUAGUCUCUCCACAUUCUGAGCCCCGUUUUCCAGAAUUAAAAAAAAAAAAACCUGCUUCCACUCAACUUGUCUACUUCUGAUGUAUACUUCUUUUACUUUCUGAUCCAGCACUGCAGGACAUGAGGCAUCAGGAACUGGCAGCAUGAAAUUCUUGAUGAACGGAUGUUUACUUUUAGCCACAGCAGACGGUUCUACAAUUGAAAUGGUUGAAGAAAUAGGUCAGGAUAACAUGGUAAGUGCUAAAUCAACAGUCAUACAAAUGAAUCAAGGUAAAAGUACCAUGAAGUCCUCUAUAUUAGGAGUCAGAUUGUAUUUUACCUCCUCUACUCAAGAAAUGAGCAAAUUAGUCACUCUACAUUAGAUCAAAGAGCAAACUGGUCCUUUUAUAGAAAAUUUCAUCCAUUUUUGCUGUUAAAAGUUGGUCUCUGUACGUUAGCAUGAGGUACACAUGGCAUGUCACAUGUCACUGUCUAGUUAUUUCAUCAAUCAUGCCAGUUUUUAAUAGUACAAAAGAAUGAAAUUUUUAAUAGAAAGGACCAAUUUGCUCUUUAAUCUAAUGUAUAGGGACUGGUUUGCCUAUUUUUUUAGUAGAGGAGGCGAAAUGCAAUCCAACUCUUAGUACAAGAGCCUCCAUGGUACUUUUACAAUGAAUUAACAAUAUUAGUUGGAGUAGAUUUUGAUAACAUUUCUUUCAGUUCCUGUUUGGAGCAAAAGCGCAUGAAGUUGUUGCAUUGCGCAAGAAAGGACCCACUCUUAAAGUUCCUCUUCAGUUUUCGCGUGUUGUAAGGUAUUAUACCCCUUCAUUCUACGUAAUGUAUAGCUUUAUCAGUACGUUGCAUCUUAGUUUCUCUGUAAAGGAGAGUAUAUGUAUCCUUGCUUUUCUUAUACAGAGGUAGAGUUGAUUUAGAUAUUAUUGGUUUAAAUUUCAAGUGAUUUGAGUGGCAUUGUGUAACUAUUAUAUGUAGGAUGAUCCGAGAUGGUCAUUUUGGAUUUGAAGACUAUUUCAAAUCUUUGUGCGACAAGAUAGAGGGCACGAGUGACUAUUUUCUUCUUGGUGCCGAUUUUAUGAGCUAUCUAGAGGCCCAGGUAAAUAGUUGGUUUUCCAUCAGUUAGAAAUAAGAAUGCCUUGUAAAAGGGAAUUGCAUUUUAAUUGUGGACUGUGUUGAGAUGAACAGGCAGCCGCCGAUAAAGCGUUCGUUGAUGAAGAGAGAUGGACAAAAAUGAGUAUACUUAGCGCAGCUGGCUCUGGGAGAUUUAGCAGUGAUAGGACAAUCCAAGAGUAUGCUGAAAACACUUGGGACAUUCAACCUUGCAGAUGUCCCUUUUGAUUUGGGAAGUGAGAGCUACUCGAAAUAGAAUGAAGCUCUCGCAAUGUCAUGUGCGGGGCUUCUCUAUUUAUUAAUAAAAUAAAACGAAUUGAAUCGAAUAAAAUUACAAUGAAUAAUAACAAUGUUUCUAAAACUAAUAAUAGAAAAUAAUCAAAGCAUUCAAAAAUAUUUGAGUUGGAGCUUGACAUAAAUAUUGUUGUUGAUAGGACCUUAUAAAUGUUUAUUUAAAAAAAUUCAGACGGAAACCUAUUGCAAACUUUUUUGCCCAUUUCAAACAAUUUUGAUUUUGGACGAAUUAUAAUAAUUUCUUCUCUUUUCCUUUACCAGAAAGAUAUACCUUGUCUUUUUCGUAAAUAGAAUUAACUUUAUUCAACUGAUUUUUGUUUGGUUGUUCAUACUUCAUGAAAUAACAAUUUUCUCCUGGAUUCUACAAGCUUCGAUUACCCGCCACUAUUUCUGUUUACUUCUUCCGAGAAGAAAAAAGGAGGAAAGAUAGAAAAAAAAAAAAAGGUUGUUUAGAAGAGGCAGUAAUGGCGGUUAAUAUGAUUCUCCUUCCCUCCAUUUUCAGUUUUUUCUUCUUCCUCUUCUUCUUCUUCUUCUUCUUGUCACUCACAUCUCAAGAUGAACAAAGUAACAACCACAAUCUCUUGAUCCUUGAAUUGCGCGACUCCAAGCUCAAGAUCUCUCGUUUGGGUAAAAUUUCUUUUUUAUUUCUUCAUUGAUAAAUAAAUACCUUACUUAGAGUUUCCAAACAAACACUGAUCUUAACCUCGAUUCCUUGACUAUUGUAAAAUAUGGAUGCAGAAUCUGUUCUUGAAGAAAGAAUUCAAAACCUUAAUGCUAAAACCCUUUCUGUUAAGGAACACGGGAAAUCCCUCGAGGACAUGGCAAACAAGAGCACUUAUCUGCAGUCUGCUCUAUUUGAUCUUAAGGUUCAAUUCUUUCCUAAGAAGCUUUGCUUUUGUUUUUAGCUUUGUUUUCAUUUGUAUGUUACUCGGGUUUAUUUGGAUUGAAUGUCUUCUCCCUAUUGAUGUCUCAAAAUGAAAAAAAAAAAGGGGGGGGGGCUGCUUUUGAAAGCAGAAAAUUGAAUUGUGGUACGGUUUAUUCACUUAGUAAUCUUGUUCCAAAAAUACAUAGCAUAUUGACAUGUGAUUUUGCAAUUUCUAAAUGUAUAUAGCAUAUUGACAUGUUAUUUUGCAAUUUCUAAAUUGUAGGAUUAUUCAUUUCUUGCUGAUGAAAAAAGCUUAACGCUCUGGAAGAGGAGGUUCGUUUUAAAUGCUUCUAUAAAUAUAAUCGCUCUUUCAAACUUUUUUUCGUCCUAUUUGAUUCCUUGUCAUGUUUGUACGGGUGAGUGGCAAGAAAUAUUUGCUUUAGUGCAAUUCAACUUAGUACCAGGCUUCAUGAUCCUAGGUACACGGCCUUUGGGCUGUUUCGAGAAAGAACAAUUUUGAUCUUCAUGUUUUAGAGUUGAAAGCACAGGACGCCGAGGAUAGACUGGAAGCUGUUACUUCAUAAGUUGGAAAGGUUAGCAUUUACAUUCGUUAAUUUUGUUUCUGUAUAGAGACUCUGCUUGUAAAUGAUGAGGGCUUCGUCUUUGUUUUUUUUUUUUUUGGGGUACUAUUAUAAUAUGAGGUGAACCCUAAACCCUGGGGUGUCAACAAGAGAGCAUCAAUCACUGCUCCAAGGGGAUGUUGGUGAGGGGUUUUUCUUGUUUGUCAUACACCAUGACCAUCUAAUGCUGAAUGACUAAGCAUUUCUUCAUAUUAUAACGUUAUAUAAUCUAUAAUAAACUUUAAUGCCUCGUUUAGUUAUCUAGUGUAUUAACACAAGGAAAAGCUUACUACAUAAGUAUUAAAGUAGUUUGUCAUAACAUAUAGUGUAUAUUUAAACUUGAAAUUAGAAAGAUAAGUAGAACUCUAGUAAAAAAUAGGACCUCUUCAAAAUAAGAAAAAAAAAUUCUUUCUCAUUGCUCAAAACAAGUUGUGCUAGUGGUUAAAAAUUACCAUCUGAAGUUAGUUAGUUUGUAACUCAUGUACUAAGACAUGAAGAAAUAAUAUUCCUACCGAACGUAGCAUAAGAGUUUCAUCAAUAACUGCAAGAAUGCUUUAAGCACCUAUUUGCUGCUGUUCCAAUUAUUGAAGUUUGUGUUGCCUCAUUUCUAGAUUUAAAUAUCCUUGUUGGGUUGGGAGAGGUUUUGUUGGGUUGGUCAUCAGGUAUUAUGCUUUAGGUACCAGUCACUGGCUCAACGCUAAGCUGUAUUUCUUUAAAUGGAAGAGAAAUAUUAUAUCCUCAUAUUCUUUCUAAGUUGUUAAUGAAAAUGACCAUAUUUUAUCAGAACUCUUUCUUGGUUAUUUGAACUUUCUUUUGAUUGUUGAUGUGUAAAAGGCUUGAAAACUUGUUUAUUCCCUAUUGGUUUUAUUAUCUCUUGAUAUAACUAAUAUUGAAAUAAUUUGUAUUUUACUCACUCAAAGUUCCAUUCCCUUGCAUUUAGAUGGCAGAAGUUGUUACAGAACAAUGGGUUCAAAUUCAACAUCUUGAGCAGGCACUUCAAAUUGCUAAAGUAUGGUCUUAGGCCCUAAUGAUAUCAGUUAUUUGUUAAACUCAGGGAAAUUUGAAAGAAAAUGAAGAUAAAGGUUUUUCUCAUUAUAAUUAUCCUUUAUUUGCAUCAUUUCUUUGUGUUACAGAUGAGGGCAUUGCAAGCUCAAAAGCAAAGGAAUAUGAGAUGCACAUUCUUGAAGGUAAGAUAAUAAGUUGACAGUCUUUCAGACCUCUUCUUUUCCUCAGUCUCUGUCCCUUUAAAUUACUGUAAAUUUUAUCUUUGUAUAUCAAAGCAUCAGCAACAGUUAUAACUUUUAUAGUUCCUUUUAGUUAAGGAAAAAAUACUUUGUCAUAUGCUCGUGUUUCAUGUUAGUCAUAAGAUAAUCUAAUCUUGUAUGUGAAUAGUUCAUAGAUGGCAUUUCUGGAAGACAUCUCCCGAAGCCGUUCAAGGCCUUGGAUUCUUAUUCAUUGGGAAAAGGACCUAUCAUAAGAUACUACGUGUCUUAAGCUCUGCAACAAUUGAAAAGAUUUUACUCAGCAAUUAGAAGGUUUCACCCUGAGGUAUGUUUGAUACUGCAUGACUUUCUAGAUUCUUGUCUGAAAAAUAAUGGUGUCACUCUUGAAGGUCUUCACAUGUCAAAACUUACUUGACAUUACCUUUGUGAAGUUUCCAUUAAAAAAAAGUGGUCAAGAAACAUUUGAAUUUCAGUAUUGCGCUUGCCUCUAUCAACACCUCUUCCACUCUCCUUAGCAAUUUGACACAGAAGACUGUAAGAUAUAAUGGCUUCAAGAUUGCAGAAUCUCUUUCUUUUACUAAGUUCUGAAACUUAUUAUGGAAACUUUUGGUCUUUUCCAGCCUAAAAAAUGGAAAAUCGGUGGGUUGAUUGGUCAUGUAAAUAAGACCGAGUAUUCGUGGAAUUAUAGUUCUAUCAGCCAAGAAGAGUAUAUUAUGAACCUUAAACUAUGUACCUACAUAGACUUUGAACCUUAAUUGGCCCGUUAUCAGAUGUGAAUGUUGCCUUGAAUGAUAUUAACCAUACUUAACUUUUAUUACCAAGGCACUGAAAUUGCUUGUAAGAGAAGGAUAAUAAUUGUCUUGCACUUUCAACUUGAAAUUCUCUGCGUACAAUCAUCUCUGUUGGAUGUAUGCAGACAUGAAUUCUGCAAUCUUGUGCUUUAGUUCAGAAUAUUAUUUAGUAACAAUUCAAUUUCCUCCAAUGCACAGAAUUUGGCCUGCUUUACAAUUGAAGGAGUUAAAUUAGCAGCAUGUUAAAUUUCUUCCAUCUGUCUCCUUUGUGCUCAUCAGAGGUUCCAGUUUACAAGUUAAUAUGCAUUAGUUUUAGAAAAUAUUGGCCAAGUACAAAGAAGUAUAUCCCUUCCCUAGGAACCUCUGGCUUUCCAAGAAAUAAAUGUUUUCUGUUUGUUUGCAGUUGCAAGCUUUCAUCAAAUAGGAGAUGCAAAGAAAUGAACUUACUGCUGCUUUUGUCAAUGAUGAACUGGUAUUCUUUCUGGUAUGUUCUUGAGUACCAGCUGCCAUCUUCUGUACAUGAAGAUUUACUUGAAUUGCUGGUAUAAUUCAUUUUAUGGUAUUUCAGGCUUCUGCUUUCAUUACCUUCCCUAUACUGGGUUCUUGGAUGCUGCUUUUAACAUAGUUCAGCUAGGUGAAGAAAUCUUCUUUUAGGGGGUAGUGUCUUACCCUGAAAUAGUAGGUGACAUCCAAGCUGUUGCACUUUGUUUUCUCUGAUCUCUUUUACAGAUUGGUUUUUGAUAUUAAAAGGUGAAAGAAGAGUUAGACACAUUACUGCGUACAGCACCGGGUCAUUUUGUUGCCAAUGAGUCAAUUUUACAUGGAAGUAUUCCAGGGUCCAGAUCAAUACAGUAUGAUAUUCAUUGACCCAAAUGUUGAUUUUUGAGGCUUAAGAUAUUUGCAUCUAUUUGUAGCCUAAUCAAAAUUGGAGUCGAUCAUUGAAUUGAUUGUGUACAAAGAUACGCAGACAUUUACACACUGGGAGCGUUUCACGUCCAUGACAAUUUUAGUCAUUUUCUUUAAAAAAAAAUGUUGGGAUUUGAAUUUUAAAUCUUUUUUUCUUAAAAAGUUGGUUUCGGUAACGCCGUUGAUGAAACUAAAGAACAGCCGUGGCAUCCAUGAGUGAAGAUUAACUAUUAAACAAAAACAAAUGAGGAAAGUGGUGAGGAGGAAUCCCAGAUUUUUGUUAAAAGAAAAAGGAAAACGUGAAUUCAUUCAUGAUUCAUCAUCUCUCUGUAGUCGGUCAUCAUGAAAUCAACGUAAAGAAAGGCAAAUGGCAGGCGAUAUGGCAAUUCCUUGAUGAAGGUAUUUCAAGCCUUGCAAAAAAACAAAAACUUCCUUUGUUUCUUUUUCUUUUUUUUGUCUCCUUCCGAAGUCACAAGGCUAAUCCAUAAUUGAGACUGAAAAAAGCAAAAAUGGAAGAGUCGACAUGGGAGCAAAAGCUCCAGGCUCUAACCCACAUCCUAACAAGCCCCACAACCUCACCGCCUCUCCACUCUCAACUCUUCAUCUCCACACAAAUACCAUGUUUCCUCAACUGGGAUUUCCCUCCAAUUCUCUGCAAUAAACCCAACUCCCAUACCUUCCCUUCUCUCCACCUGAAAUGGGGAAUCUCUCUUUUCCUCAGAAGGGUCUCAAGAUUGGGUGUCCCCGAAACUUCCUGGAGGUCCAAGUGCCCUUACUAUCAGCCCCCACCACUGAUUCUGGCCAAGGGAGUGGAUGAAGCACAAUGGGUCGAUGCGCAAAAGCGAGAGUAUGUUAGGAAGAGGCUGAGAAGGAAACGCCUAGAAAGCCAUGUCCACCCUUUAAUUCCGAUUUUGAUUCCCGAUUUAUUAUUGUUCUCCCUGCUCUGGUUCAAUCCAUUUCCUCUUAAUGAUUCCUGACAAUUUUCCUUGUCUCAGAAUUGUAUAAUAAUAAGUACAUAACUCUUAUGUCUUAUCACUUCUCUUGUCAACGUUGGAUCAUUUUAUUUACUUUGGUCGAUUUCGGAUUUCUUUCUCGGUAGCACUGUUGUUUGCCUUAUCAAAAUCUCUACUCUCAGAAAUUUUUCUUUCUUUUAUAGAAGAUGAUGAUGAUGAUGAUGAUGAUGAAAAGGGGCUUAAAUUGAGGCCCCAAGUAAAUUAAUUAGAAGCUACAACAUCAUAAAGCAAAAUCAGUAAUAAAGAGUUCUGAUUCACUUUGCUUAAUAUAGAAUUUACCUUUGCCAGUUAAGCCCGCCUGUAAUUUUGGUUAACGUCUAAACAUGCAUUUAUUUAUUUAUUUACAACUUACCUCAUUAAUUUUCUCCCCAUGUAUAACCCACCAAACUCCAACUGCACUACCUGAAACUCUUUAUUCGGUUUAGUUAAAUCUGGCCUCCACUUUACCACAACAUAGUGGGGCUGGCCAUCGCCUCCACUUUAUUCAAUACAUUCAGCUUCUAGAAUUCCAAAAACAAUACAUCAUGAUUUGUUUAUUAUGUUACUUUAAUUUUUUUUCCCCUUUUCGUCUAGUCUUGUUUUAUAUUAGCAGUGUUGAUCGUUGAUAAAGGUUGAAGUUUCGGAUUUUAAUGUUUGAGUUUAAGUUCUACCAUCUAUAAUUGCAAUACGGGUCUCUCUUACCUUGUGUAUAUGCGGUGUGUUUUAUCUAAUUAUUUUUAGAUUUUACUAUGUUUUUGUUCAGUUCUUCAUCUAUUAUGAAUUGCAUCAGUUGAAUUUUACGUUAUAAUUUAUUGAACAUAUAUUUAUUUUUGUCUUCUAAUUGUACAAUUUUUAUACCAGUGAAUUUUUUUAAAAAAAAUCAUGUGAUUAUGGAAUAUACGACAUAUAUUUAUGAAAUUUUAAGAAAAGAAAAAAAGAAAUGUUAAGUAUACACCAUUUUCAGUCACAUUAGAAUCCUGUUAAUACAUUAUUUCUACGGCUUCUACAUCACUAAACUGAUGAUCACAUUGGAUACUACCUUUUCUUUUCUUUUUGACUUAAUAGUAUUAAUGGUUUUCGAGUUUGGCAAACAUUUUUUUUCAAAAUUGGGUAGGAUUCGAUGGCCAGAUUGAUACAAUCUUUGUACGGCCGAAACGCUUCCCUACCGUUAAUCAAGCAACCAAACUUCACUUAAUCCAAGGAAAAGAAGAAAAGCAAAAAGUAAAAGCCAAAAGAAAAAUUAUUCAAUUGAUUGGUCAAACACUAACGUUGACAAUAAAGCUUCUUUUUUUUUUUAACUCUCUACCAUUGAUCUUUUAUUCCACCCCUUCCUUACAGCUUUUUGUUGUUGUUGUUUUCUAAAACAGAACCUCAUAAUAUCAGACAUAUUGGGACUCUGAAAAUUCAACCUUCAGGGAGAAAAAAUCCUUCUUGUUUCCAUUAUGUUUAUUUUGUUAUAGAUGGAGGCAUCGGUGCUUGAGUUGUGAAUGCAUAAGCAUGAACCAUAAAGUUCAAUCAAGAUAUGAGGAGAAUCUUCUUUUUCCUUUAUCUUUGCUUUUCUGUUUUUCCUUUGUUGAUGGCGCCAAACGUAGUCUUAAAGUAUAUUAGAUACAUCUGGUGACCAACAUUCAAUUAUAAUAAAGAGUAUAGAUAGAUACAUCAAUACUAUCCAGCCCUCUUUCAUGAUGAUGUUGCAAGUUUUGCACUCCACCCCCAUAUUAUUAUGAAGAGGAGAAAUUCCUGUUAGUUGAGCUUUAUUUUCUAAGAAAUGACUUCUAACAUUAAUAAAUUUGAAUCAUGAUAUAUUUAUAGCUAUUUCUCUUACUCUCUCGUAUUAUAGCUUUCUUUAUAUGCUAAAACAGGAGAUGAGUAGGAAGAAACAAUUUUUGUUAAAAGACGUGAAGUUGUCUUAAGAUUGACAAGGCAGUUAGAUGCAUUUAAAUUGGUAUUUAAGGAUAUGUCUGUAUAUAACUAGAACUAAUUAAGAUUACAAUACACUGCAAAAUGAUUCCACCUUUUUUUUUGGGGGGUUCUCUCUUUUAUAUGAUCAAAUACAAUGUUGAUAUGAACAAGGUUUUGCAGUUGUAGAAAAUCGUGGAGGACUUUUUUUUUUACAAAAAAGAAAGAUAAAAUUCAUAAAAAAUGUGAAGUUAAGCAUAUUUAGCGACGGGUGGGGUAUGGGGUGGUUUGCUAACAUGGAAUGCGCAUGGCAGAUUGGCACUUUAAAGAAGGGAUGGGGCCGAGGGGGCGGGAGUUGUUAAAUCCUCGGGGUAGAAAAAGGUAAGUAAGCGUGUCCCUGGCAUUAGACAAGGAGUAGAGGGGGCAGCACAUGCACAGCAUAACUAUAUCUCUUUAUUUUAUGUCCCACUCCACUCCCCCUCAUCUCUGCCGCAACAUUAAAUACCAUAUGCAUCCUUACUAUUCAUAAUGGUUUUUUGUUGGGUUGAUGUUACAAAAUUACAAUUUUACUAUAGAUGUAUUUAUAAUAUUUAAGAUUUUUUUAAGUAGGAGUUUAAUCUUUGGUGGUGAUGUUGAUUUUAGAUAUAUUCCCCACCCGCAAGUAGAUAUCAUACAUUCUAAUAUAAUUAAAAAUGGUAUAAUUAAAAUAUUUUUAAUAUUUUUAAUAUUAUUUUUAUAUUUUUGAAUUUUUAAAUUUUAAAAAAUUAAUUAAAUGUUGGUGCGUCAUCUACAUGUAUGCAACGGCGAAGCUUAAAAAAUAUUAAUUUUUUUCAUUCGUGAUUUGACAAAAAAAAGUAAGUUUAAAGGCUAAAAAAGCAUAAAUUUAAAUAAAUAGCUAAAAUAAUUUUUUUACAAAGUUAGAGAGCCAAAUAAAUUAUUAUUUUAUUUAAAAAUAUUUUUUUAAUAAAUUAUUAAUUUAGUCACAUAAUCUAAUAUAAUUUAAUUCAAACCCGUUGGUUCCAUCAACAAAUUGAUCUGCAUGAGACUUAAGGGUUAGAAUUUGGUGCGUAACUCUUUUUCCUCCUAAUUUUUACUUUUAAAAAGAAAUUGCAAUACAAUUUUUUUAUUAUAGAAUUCUCCAAUUUUUAUUUAUUUAUUUGAUCAGGAAGCUUUAUUGACACUGCUUUUAUUUUUCCAUCAAUCCAAUUUAAGAGACAAUUCACUUUUUAUAAUUAACAAAAAACAAAAAGAAAAUAAAAGAAAUUACUUUUUCCUUUUUCGUGUUCGAUACAAGAUAGAUGAAAUAUGGAAAAUAAAAUGCAAUGAAAAUAUAUUAUUAGUGAUAUAUCACCUCCAUUAUGUAGGGGAAAGAAAUAAAAAUAAUAUUAAUUUAUGAUACUUUCAUAAUGUGGUUAAAAAUAAUUAUCUAGUAUUUUUUUGUAAAAAAAAAGGAAAGUUGAUAUCUAUGCUACUAAUGAAGUUUCUUAGUGAGUUUGUUACUAAUCAUAUUCGAAUUUUAAAAAUUGUGAAUUUUUAAAAAAUAAGUUAUUUAUAUAACUAGUAAUAUACUAUUUUGACUCUUUUUUUAUCCGAGUUAAUGUUAGUUAUCUCGUGAUACCAAUUCAAUAAAACACUUUAUUUAUAUUAAAUUAAUAUAGGUGAGAAGUAAAAUUAUUUAACAAAUAUAUUCUUAAAAAUACUAAAGGAGGUUUUGGUUGAAUAGCAAAAUAUAAAUAUUACAAAUUAUAAAGAUGUAGGUUCAAUAUUUUUACUAUUUUUCUAUAUAAAAUGAUAACCUUAUAAAAGUAGUUUGUGGUUGAUGGACUAAUUUUUUAAAAAGAAUUAAUAUUAGUAAAGAUAUAUAUGGUACUAAACAUAAGGAAAUAGGGGAAAACGUAUCAUAUUUGUAGUGGGAGAAUGGGAUCAUUACAAGGAAAAAUGAAAUAUAUAUCAUUAACAACAAACAUAAAAGAAAGCGUCUUUUGAUAAAGUUGUUAUUGGUGUAAUGUGAAGGGACCACAAUCAUCACCAUUCACCACUUGCUCCUAAUUGAGUUGAAAUCUUUUUACAACAUAGAAAACUAGAACAUCUCCCUUUCUUGCUUCCUAUAUAUAGAUUUUGUAUCAUCGCAAUUCCACAUCACACACGCAAGCAAAGCAAAGCAUUAGCAACCAUAGCCAUGGCUUCCUCACCAAAACUCUUCUCUAUGUCUAUCCUCUUCCUUUUUGCCCUCUUCUCCAUGCAAAUCCAUGCUAGAGAGUACUUCAGCAAAUUCCCAAGAGUUAACACCAAUGAGAAAGAGACAACAACCAGAGAGCAAGAGCACGAGACCUUCGUUCCCCAGACCACCCAAAAGCCAGAAGAGCAAGAGCCAAGGUUCAUCCCUGAAACCCAAAAUGGUUAUGGCCUUUACGGCCACGAGUCAGGCUCAGGCUCAAGCCGGCCCAGUUUCACCACCAAAGAAACCUAUGAACCCUAUGUCACCCCUGUUAGAUUCCACCCUGAUGAACCCUAUAACAGCAUCCCCGAAUCCUCCAACAAUAAAGACACUUACUACUACAACAAGAAUGCCUACAAGUCCACUAAGCAGCAAAACUUGGGCGAGGCCAUUUUCACCGAGAAAGGAUGGAGCACCAAGGAAAACCAGAACAACAACUACUACAACGGCAACAUUAAUGGCGAGAAGCAAGGCAUGAGCGAUACUAGGUACUUGGAGAAUGGAAAGUACUACUAUGACGUCAAGAGUGAGAACAGCUAUUAUCCAAACCAGCUCGACAACUCAAGAGGAGUUG